CUGCUGCCUCCCGUAGGAGUUUGGGCCGUGUCUCAGUCCCAAUGUGGCCGGUCACCCUCUCAGGUCGGCUACUGAUCGUCGGCUUGGUGGGCCGUUACCCCGCCAACUACCUAAUCAGACGCGGGUCCAUCCUGUACCACCGGAGUUUUUCACACCGGACCAUGCGGUCCUGUGCGCUUAUGCGGUAUUAGCAGUCAUUUCUAACUGUUGUCCCCCUGUACAGGGCAGGUUACCCACGCGUUACUCACCCGUCCGCCACUCAGUCA
Molecule: ribosomal RNA, 266 nt
Filed under: uncultured bacterium
Lineage: Bacteria
Description: partial 16S ribosomal RNA
Source: RNAcentral